GAGUGACGUGAGCGGAAGCUGGGAAACUAGGUGAGUGAAGCCAGGUAAGUUGAGAACCAAAGCCAAAAGUGUUAACGACCUGUUCACGUCCAGAGCUCACGGCCCUGCACCGUAGGGAAUCGCGUAGUGUAGACCUGGGAUAGCAGAACGGGGAGGAAUUUAGGGGAAGGUAAAACGCCGGCCAGCCGUGUGCCGCGCGGGGCAUCUUGGGAGAGUCAGCAGCACAGCAGCUGGAACCAUAGCUCAGAAACCUCCCAAGUCAAAGGAGCUACGGGGCUGGGAAGGGGCCGGAAGAGAGCAGGGCGUGAUCAGUUUUUCUGGUGUUCAUAAGUAAGCUGGCUCGAUAUAUUUUAGUGCAUAUAAACUGAAAUAAUCCUGAUGUGUUUUUCAUUGACCAAAUGAUUGCCAAAAUAUUCAAAAUAGUAGAAUAGUAGAAUAUUUUAGUUUAUCUACUGAAGUUUGCAAACCAGUUCUCUUUGUUGAGAUAAAGGAUAAAGCUCUUUAAAUUUACUUACAUCCAUGCUAACUCCACUGUUAUACCCAGGACAUACUUGGUGACUUAACAUCCCCAGAGAGCUUUUAGCUAUUACUCAUGAAAGGAAUGGCUGGAAAUGUAACUGAAUCUCAGCGUAUAUUUGUUGCGAGUUUCGUAGAUAUAGUUGUAAAUAUAACUAGAAGUGAUUGUCAUCACUUCUUCCUCUCCUUCUAGUCUCUCACUCCUCCACUACCUUCCUCCCCCUAUCCUACACCUUCCUCUCUUUAUCCUCAGAGAAGGGAAAGCCUCCUGUGGAUAUCCACCCUCCUUGGCAUAUCAAGAUGCAGUGGGAUUAGGCACUGCACUGAGGCUAUUGAGGCUAGACAAGGCAGCCCAGUUAGGGAAAGGGGAUCCAAAGGCAGUCAACAGAGUCAGAGACAGCCUCUGCUCCAGUUGUUAGGGGACCAACAUGAUAACCAAGUUGCACAUCUGCUACAGUUCACAGUUAGAAAGGACAUUAUAAACCAGUUUUUAAUCCUUUAAUCCCUGUAUCCUAUAACCCUUUAAUCCUUUAAUCACAAGCCUUUAAUGCCUACACUUAGGAAACUGAGGCAAUUGGAUCUGGGAGUUCCUUGCCACCCUGGUACAUAAAGGGAGUUUAAGGACAGCUAGAACCACAGAGAAAUGUCAGUGGGAAGAGGGAGAAGGAAAAGG
Molecule: long non-coding RNA, 1189 nt
Filed under: Mus musculus (house mouse)
Lineage: Eukaryota; Metazoa; Chordata; Mammalia; Rodentia; Muridae
Description: long non-coding RNA chr17:21450377-21451566
Source: RNAcentral